GGUGAGAAUCCCGUCUGUGACCGGUGACCGAUCCCAUGCGAAACCCCUUCGACGAGUCGAGUUGUUUGGGAAUGCAGCUCAAAAUGGGUGGUAAAUUUCAUCUAAAGCUAAAUACUGGCUGGAGACCGAUAGCGCACAAGUAGAGUGAUCGAAAGAUGAAAAGCACUUUGGAAAGAGAGUCAAAAAGUACGUGAAAUUGUUGAAAGGGAAGCGCUUGCAACCAGACCUGUCCGUGGGUGAUCAGCCGCCGUUCUCGGUGGUGCACUCGCCUACGAUCAGGCCAGCAUCGGUUCGGGCGGCCGGACAAAGGCCUUGGGAAUGUAGCUCCUCUCGGGGAGUCUUAUAGCCCUCGGUGCAAUGUGGCCAGCCCGGACCGAGGACCGCGCUUCGGCUAGGAUGCUGGCGUAAUGGUUGUAAGCGACCCGUCUUGAAACACGGACCAAGGAGUCUAACAUCUAUGCGAGUGUUUGGGUGUUAAACCCAUACGCGGAAUGAAAGUGAACGGAGGUGAGAACCCUUUAGGGCGCAUCAUCGACCGAUCCAGAUGUCUUCGGAUGGAUUUGAGUAUGAGCAUAGCUGUUGGGACCCGAAAGAUGGUGAACUAUGCCUGAAUAGGGUGAAGCCAGAGGAAACUCUGGUGGAGGCUCGCAGCGGU
Molecule: ribosomal RNA, 655 nt
Filed under: Protoparmelia aff. badia A GS-2015
Lineage: Eukaryota; Fungi; Ascomycota; Lecanoromycetes; Lecanorales; Parmeliaceae
Description: eukaryotic LSU rRNA
Rfam family: Eukaryotic large subunit ribosomal RNA
Source: RNAcentral